GGAGGAUGCAAGCGUUAUCCGGAUUUAUUGGGUUUAAAGGGUGCGCAGGCGGGGAUGUAAGUCAGUGGUGAAAUACUGCCGCUUAACGGUAGGCUUGCCAUUGAUACUGCAUUUCUUGAGUUUGGAUGAGGUAGGCGGAAUGUGCAGUGUAGCGGUGAAAUGCAUAGAGAUUGCACAGAACACCGAUUGCGGAGGCAGCUUACUAAACCAAAACUGACGCUGAGGCACGAAAGCGUGGGGAGCGAACAGGAUUAGAUACCCUGGUAGUCCACGCUGUAAACGAUGUUCACUCGCUGUUUGCGAUACACAGCAAGCGGCUGAGCGAAAGCAUUAAGUGAACCACCUGGGGAGUACGAUCGCAAGGUUGAAACUCAAAGGAAUUGACGGGGGCCCGCACAAGCGGAGGAACAUGUGGUUUAAUUCGAUGAUACGCGAGGAACCUUACCUGGGCUUAAAUGCAGGCUGCAUCGUCGUGAAAGCGGCGUUCCCUUUGUGGCUGCCUGCAAGGUGCUGCAUGGUUGUCGUCAGCUCGUGCCGUGAGGUGUCGGGUUAAGUCCCAUAACGAGCGCAACCCUUACCGUUAGUUGCCAACAGGUUAAGCUGGGGACUCUAGCGGGACUGCCACCGUAAGGUGAGAGGAAGGUGGGGAUGACGUCAAAUCAGCACGGCCCUUAUGUCCAGGGCUACACACGUGUUACAAUGGCCGGUACAGAGGGCAGCUACCCCGCGAGGGGGUGCUAAUCUUGAAAGCCGGUCUCAGUUCGGAUUGGAGUCUGCAACCCGACUCCAUGAAGUUGGAUUCGCUAGUAAUCGCGCAUCAGCCAUGGCGCGGUGAAUACGUUCCCGGGCCUU
This 852-nucleotide ribosomal RNA is filed under the name uncultured organism. RNAcentral's name for it is "bacterial SSU rRNA". It matches the Rfam family "Bacterial small subunit ribosomal RNA", at positions 527 to 1382 of the family's 1533-position model. The record is from RNAcentral.